Molecule: transfer RNA, 65 nt
Filed under: Therea petiveriana
Lineage: Eukaryota; Metazoa; Arthropoda; Insecta; Blattodea; Corydiidae
Description: tRNA-Asp
Source: RNAcentral
GAAGAUUUAGUUAAUUCAUAACAUUAGUAUGUCAAUCUAAAAUUAUUAUAUAAUAAUAAUCUUCU